RNAcentral lists this long non-coding RNA (347 nucleotides) under Elaeis guineensis (African oil palm). RNAcentral describes it as "long non-coding RNA (EGUI_LNC042673)". The record is from RNAcentral. Lineage: Eukaryota; Viridiplantae; Streptophyta; Magnoliopsida; Arecales; Arecaceae.
AUUUGAUUGGAUAAUGCUUGGAUUGAUGUUUAAUCAAUGCCCCAUUAUCUUGGAACUGAUGCCAGGUAUAUCCAAGGCCGACCAUGCAAAUAUAUUGGUAUUUUUCUACAAAAAGAAAAUGACUCGACACUUAGAUACCUUGUCCAGUUGAGAGCCGAUCUAGACCAUUUUAUCAAUUCUUCCUUCUCCCAGCAGCACUGAGAUGAGAUCCUCCACUGGUUCACCAUGUUGCUUGCUUAGAUCAUCCCUAACAUCCAAUCCUUCAAUUGGGAGUGCCUUAAAUCAUUUGGUCUCUUGAAGAGUUAUCAUAUAAUAUUGCCACACGAGUGCUUGGUCACCUCGGAUCU